This 253-nucleotide ribosomal RNA is filed under the name uncultured bacterium. RNAcentral's name for it is "partial 16S ribosomal RNA". It matches the Rfam family "Bacterial small subunit ribosomal RNA", at positions 524 to 776 of the family's 1533-position model. The record is from RNAcentral.
UACAGAGGUCUCAAGCGUUGUUCGGAUUUACUGGGCGUAAAGGGCGCGUAGGCGGCGUGACAAGUCACUUGUGAAAUCUCCGGGCUUAACUCGGAACGGUCAAGUGAUACUGUCGUGCUAGAGUACAGAAGGGGCAACUGGAAUUCUCGGUGUAGCGGUGAAAUGCGUAGAUAUCGAGAGGAACACCUGCGGCGAAGGCGGGUUGCUGGGCUGAUACUGACGCUGAGGCGACGAAAGCCAGGGAGCGAACGGG